This 406-nucleotide ribosomal RNA is filed under the name uncultured bacterium. Its description in RNAcentral is "partial 16S ribosomal RNA". It matches the Rfam family "Bacterial small subunit ribosomal RNA", at positions 30 to 526 of the family's 1533-position model. The record is from RNAcentral.
AUUGAACGCUGGCGGCAGGCCUAACACAUGCAAGUCGAACGAGUGGCGGACGGGUGAGUAACGUCUGGGCAACUUCCCGAUGGAGGGGGAUAACUACUGGAAACGGUAGCUAAUACCGCCUACCAUCUGCUGUACCCAGAGGGGAUUAGCUAGUAGGUGGGGUAAUGGCUCACCUGGGCGAAGAUCCCUAGCUGGUCUGAGAGUAUGACCAGCCACACUGGAACUGGGACACGGUCCAGACUCUUACGGGAGGAAGCAGUGGGGAAUAUUGCACAAGGGGCGCAAGCCUGAUGCAGACAUGCCGCGUGUAUGAAGAGGGCCUUCGGGUUGUAAAGUACUUUCAGCGAGGAGGCGUUACUCGCAGAGGAAGCACCGGCUAACUCCGUGCCAGCAGCCGCGGUAAUUC